RNAcentral lists this ribosomal RNA (5158 nucleotides) under Triticum aestivum (bread wheat). RNAcentral's name for it is "partial small subunit ribosomal RNA". Lineage: Eukaryota; Viridiplantae; Streptophyta; Magnoliopsida; Poales; Poaceae. The record is from RNAcentral.
GGUGCGAAUCAGUUUCAGCGGCUAGGUGUGUGUUCGAGUGGCUAUCUAUGUGGGCUCGGGCAGUUACCGCCGUUACUCCUGACGUCGCCCCUCGUCGCUCGUACCGCUCGGGCAGCUCGUCGGACACCCCGCGGGUUCCCGUUCGGAGGUGGUACCGCGUCGACUACCCGCACCUGCGCGAGCCCGACCAGAGGUACCAGCACGUCCGGCGGGACCACCGCGCGGCGGUGGCCCUACGGACGCACGCCGAGCGCGUCGUGCACCUCGAGCAACCGCCGGACGAGCCCCUCGACCUCGAGCGGCUCGACUACGCAGCCCUCCGGUGGUCCGCCGGCGACCUCGUCGAGCCGCCGCGCGACGCCGCCACGAUGCGCGACCAGUGCCGCACGGUCCUGACGCCGAUGGACGCGGCGGACGAGGACCCUCGGGCCUACCGGCUCCUCGAGGCGCGGCGCGUCGUACUCUAGCUGUACAAGUAGGUGGAGUAGGGCGAGUAGCGGGAGCAGCUGUUAAGGUGACGUCUAUCAGCGGCACAGUUCCGACUACUCCCCCACGAGUGACAUCAGUGUCUAUCAAGUUUAGCAGUGUAGUCCUAAGGUUUGUUUCCUCGAUGGUUUGAGACACCAUAACCUCUUGUGGGUAAACAUCCUUUUCACCUGGACGCUCUUGUCUUAUAGCAACUGUAACUUCUUGAACACCUCGAAACAUGGGCAUACCUUCUCCGAACGCGUCCUAAGUGUUCCAAGCUAAAGACAGUCUAGAACCUACGAUGUCUUUUAAAGAGUCUCUUCUACUAUCAACCCACCCCUCCUAAACCCUUCCACAUGUUCCCGGUCAACGGACCACCUGAAUUACAACGGUAGUUUUCUCGACUACUCGUGCGUCGUUACGAACUUCAGUUGUCACUUAACGUCGAACGUUUCGAAGUCGUACGGUUACACUAAUCCAAUAACCCCACCACGUAGGUACCCUUUCUUUCCUAAGAUCACAUACUCAAGUACGUUUUACCAAGGAACCUAGCAAUGGAUACGCCAUUCAAAAGGGAUGACAUUCAAUAAAGGUACGCACGGAGUAAAUUAAGGUUCAUACAUACACGUGCUUACGUUUGGCAGAUGCUAAUUUAGUUCCGAUGUUGUUGGGAUUAAGGUACCCGGUUAGUUCGUCCUGUUAUCUUCAUUGGUAUUGCUCAGGUCGAGGUUACAGCUGAUCUCAAGCUUAGUAAGAUCUGAGCCUCCAAACUAUAUUACCUCUUGUAAGUCAUCAUCGUAUAUAUAUGUUAUUUUUACAUUCGUUCCUAAUACCAGAAAAAUGCCGAGUCCAUCACAUAUAUAAGCUCUAUAAUUCUGGUCAAAACAUAUCACUUUUAUUUGUACAAAGACAUCAUGGUUGAUGGUUUUAGAAACGUUCGAACUAGAAGUCCAAAGACUCUAGUAUGUACCGUUUGGUUUUCGACCGUACAAGUUGAACUCUUAUUAGUCUGAAGUUGAGUAAUAAAAAAAAGACAAAAAAAAAAACGCGUAUUAGUCUGAAGUUGAACUGUUCGUCGUUGAUGUCUCGAGUCUCAAUUCUAGACGUCGACGUGUGUCAUGUUUGUGUAGUCCUAGAGGUUUAUUCGCGACAAGACCUAACUUUUUUCUGGGACUACGCGGACUUAUAGAGGUAUGUUUGUGUAGUCCUUGAGACUUGACUUCGUCUCUCUGCAUCAUUAGUCUUCGGUACGGACCCGGCUGAGCCUAAGUUUUUGGUUUCACGCGCAAAAUCGAUACGGCCGGACCCGGCUGAAGCUGAGCCUAAGUUUGUGAAGUGACGGAGGGCGCAGGAAUAAAAGAACGAGCGGCACAAAGGGGUUUAGGGCUAGGUAGUCUGGUGCGGGAGGCUAGUCGGAGGGAGCUAGGUAGAAGGAGAGAGAGAGUCACGGCCUAGCAACGAGGAGCUAGUUGAGGCGCCGGCGCUGGUACCGGCCGUGGUGCCACGAGGGCGGCAGAGACGAGGGCGCGGCAUCGCGGCGGCGGAGGCGGCUGGACGUGAGGACGAGGAGGGCGCACGCGCACUUGGGACGGAACUACCGCUUGGGGCGCCGACGGUUCUUCGGUUUCGCGGGGCCUAGGUACGCGCCGCUCGUUGGCGGCGGCCGCUUCGCGGAUGCGCCACGGACGAGGCCCCCGCUCGAGGUACAGCGGCAGGGGCGGUUGUAGUUCUUGCCGUCGUUCGAAGGCAGAGGGUAGUCGCCGUUCCUAGACGAGGUGAGGAGGCGUUAGUUCUUGGUCCAGCGGCUUAGAGGCCGACGGCGCUGCGUUAGCUUCGGCGUCUACUCGUACGCGCUUGACUAGCGCUUGCGAGCGGAGUGGUACCGAGCGGAGCUGUUCCGAGCGAGACGGAGGUUUCUUCUCCGGUUGGCAGCCGUCCUCUAGCUCGCGUCGUCUCGUCUCCGGGCCGCUUUCUACCUCGUCUACCGCCUGUGCCACGUCAAGUUGCUGGGGACCUAGGUAGUGAGGCUGCACUGGUUCAGGGGACUCCUCGACGAGUUUCGUUCUGUCGUGCGUACCGCAAUAGUUCGAGUGGAGGAGCUCUACCGAGCAGCUGCCCUGAAACGAGUUCGCUACGUUUAGGUCCUACUCGCGAGCCCACUACCUUCGUCUCCUUCUUUAGUAGUCGUCACGUCCGAACGACCACCAUCAGAACGUAGUCUCCUUCGUUUCGUCUCAAUUCGAUCAGGAAGGAUUUGGUAAGUGUGUACUCAAAGUAAAUUAGAAACGUAGAGAUCCAAGACGUGAAUUAGUGGUUCUAAAGAUCACAAGAAAGUUAGGGAAAGUCGGUAAUCAUUAAAAUGUUCUCACAGUCGUCUCAGAGGUAGAUCGAUCCGUCGUUUUUGGAACAAUUCUACACAUGCCGUAUCAAUGUGAUGUAGGUGUGGACCAGGAUUCAUUCCCAAAUUCAUUUAUUUCCCGUAAAAGUUAUUUAGUUUCAUUUCGUCUACUCGGAUUUUUCCUUCGAGUACAUGACGUUAAGGCCGUGCUCUGUCUCGCAUUUUGCGUGAGCGGCGUUUUAGGUUUUACGGGCAAACGAUGGGCCGAACAUCGUCCUUUUUUCCUCAUCUUAACUUGAACAGCUAUGUGUGUCAUUAGUACACUCGACGGAUCGCAGACCUCUGAUACGACUGGGAGGACAUUUUAAUUAGAACCGACUGAACCUAAGAAUCCGUAACCGCAGCACCACUCAAUUUCAACGUCAAAGACUGCUCAUCGUAACCAACCACUUGAGAACACACAUACACACUCACUUCGAAACUCGAUUCGUUCAGGAACUACAUGGCUGAUAGUUCAGUAUGACAUUAGUUAAAAGCUAUACUUACUCUUUUAACAACCAGACUUAAAACGUCUCGUAGACUCAUUAGAAAAGCAUAGAUAAAUAAGAACAUACGAAGACACCGAAGAAUUUCGUAAGACGACGAGAUCAGCCUUUUCACACAUGACUCCGUGUCUAGGUUACUUAAGUAGAGACUAAAGUGUUAUGAAGCAAACUGCCCUGAAACGAGUUCGCUACGUUUAGGUGCCUACUGACGUUAGGUGCCCACUAGCUUCGUCUCCUUCUUUAGUAGUCGUCACGUUCGAAGAACCACGAUCAGAAUGUAGUCUCCUUCGUUUCGUCUCCUUCGUCUCAGCCGUCAAAAGGUCAUCGACUCUUUUAGUCUCGUUCGUUUCCUACCCUACCUAUUCUAUGUUCAACAGUUGAUACAAUAGAUGAUCAACGUUCAAACAUCCUCAUAAAGUGACCGUAUAAAAGGUCAUCACGCUCACUCUAAGACCUAAACCGGUAAUCAAUCACACGUAAUACUAGUGUUAACCAGUUAAUUACGUUCCCUAAACUAAGUACAUUCUUGUAACCUAGAGAAAGAUGCAAAAGUAGACAACAUACAAGGAAGGAUUAUUGUUAAGAAAAGUACUUGUUUCUUCUAAUGACGACACGAACUUGAUAAGGUUUAGUGACAAUAAAAAGUCCUCUUCUUGUCUAUAUACAGGGGCAGAUCUUUUAAAAUAUGGUGUUGUUAAGUCUUAAAUAAACAGCGUAGUCCUUCCGCGGUUUUUCGUACAGAGGACUCGAGGACUUAGGACUACGUAUGUACGUAGUAACAACGGUUCACGAGUAGUCCGGACGUUCUUGUCUUAUGUCUUUUAGGAACUGUUGUUUCUUAAUCACCUUGAAACGUACGCGUGUCCUCUUUUAAUGGGUCCUAAGUCACAAGUUAAUGAAAGUCUAGCACCUACGAUGUCUAUUAAAGAGUCUCUUCUCUAUAGAACCUAGACCACCUAAACGAUGUCGUAUGUGCCUAGUCAACGGGGUACCUGAACACCAACCGUAGUUCUCUAAGCUAGUGGCACGUUACAAUAGAAUAAAGUCGUUACUUGACGUCGAACGAUCCGAAGCCGUAUGGUUACAUUGUUCGGUCUUAUUUUCCCGGUAAUGAUCUGACCAGAUUCUCUGAGUUUUAUUAGUUUCCGAUUUUGGGACUCAGGUCUGCAUUGUCUUCUCGUAUGUACGUCCCACCACCCGUGAUCACCAAUGUAUCGGGGCCUCAUGCGUAGAGCUCCCCAAAUGAGAGACUUCUGCCUACGCAAGUCGAAGCCGUAGAACCAAGACCUCUGGUAAUCGUCUGCUUUCUUGUGGUAUGAGCUGUUCGCUCCCCUAUGGCAGCCGCUAGAACAUGCUCUACGGACCACAUAUACCUUCCUGUCUUCCGACGUACUCGAGCAUCUAGCUAGUGAUCCCGUGCCUAUACUGUAGCGGCUCCAUCACUACAUGCGAGUCCAACGCGACGAGAACGAGACACGAGUCCUUCUAGGUCACCUAGCGGGACGGUACUGCCUACAACGACGUUACGACUCGAGACUUUCGUACUCGAAUGGUUACCUCGGAUUCCUCGGAAGGCGCGACUCACUUCCCCCACGACCACUUCUAUGUAUGUAUUUGGCUAGUUCGGCCUGUUAUCUGUAUUGGUAUUGCUCAAGUCGGUGUCACGACUGAUCUCAAGCGAAGUAGUAUCUGGGCCUCCAAACUACGCUGCUUUUUACAAGUUACGGUGUAUACCAACCUUAACCUUGCACACCUUCCUAGUACCGGAAAAAUAACAAGUCUCGUUACACGUCCAAAGUCUAUAAUU